AUUGAACGCUGGCGGCAUGCCUUACACAUGCAAGUCGAACGGCAGCAUGGAAGAGCUUGCUCUUCUGAUGGCGAGUGGCGAACGGGUGAGUAAAGCAUCGGAUCGUACCGUGUAGUGGGGGAUAACGUAGCGAAAGUUACGCUAAUACCGCAUACGCACUGAGGUGGAAAGCAGGGGAUCGCAAGACCUUGCGCUAUACGAGCGGCCGAUGUCAGAUUAGCUAGUUGGUAGGGUAAAGGCCUACCAAGGCGACGAUCUGUAGCGGGUCUGAGAGGAUGAUCCGCCACACUGGGACUGAGACACGGCCCAGGAUCCUACGGGAGGCAGCAGUGGGGAAUUUUGGACAAUGGGCGAAAGCCUGAUCCAGCCAUGCCGCGUGAGUGAAGAAGGCCUUCGGGUUGUAAAGCUCUUUCGGCUGGGAAGAAAUCGCACAGGCUAAUACUCUGUGUGGAUGACGGUACCAGCACAAGAAGCACCGGCUAACUACGUGCCAGCCGCCGCCGUAA
This 506-nucleotide ribosomal RNA is filed under the name uncultured bacterium. RNAcentral's name for it is "partial 16S ribosomal RNA". It matches the Rfam family "Bacterial small subunit ribosomal RNA", at positions 30 to 523 of the family's 1533-position model. The record is from RNAcentral.